UAGGAAUCUGCCCGGUAGUGGGGGAUAACCUGGGGAAACCCAGGCUAAUACCGCAUACGUCCUACGGGAGAAAGCAGGGGAUCUUCGGACCUUGCGCUAUCGGAUGAGCCUAUGUCGGAUUAGCUUGUUGGUGAGGUAAUGGCUCACCAAGGCGACGAUCCGUAGCUGGUCUGAGAGGAUGAUCAGCCACAUCGGGACUGAGACACGGCCCGAACUCCUACGGGAGGCAGCAGUGGGGAAUAUUGGACAAUGGGCGAAAGCCUGAUCCAGCCAUGCCGCGUGUGUGAAGAAGGCUUUCGGGUUGUAAAGCACUUUCAGUGAGGAAGAAGGCCUUGGGGCUAAUACCCCCGAGGAAGGACAUCACUCACAGAAGAAGCACCGGCUAACUCCGUGCCAGCAGCCGCGGUAAUACGGAGGGUGCGAGCGUUAAUCGGAAUUACUGGGCGUAAAGCGCGCGUAGGCGGCGUGAUAAGCCGGUUGUGAAAGCCCCGGGCUCAACCUGGGAACGGCAUCCGGAACUGUCAGGCUAGAGUGCAGGAGAGGAAGGUAGAAUUCCCGGUGUAGCGGUGAAAUGCGUAGAGAUCGGGAGGAAUACCAGUGGCGAAGGCGGCCUUCUGGACUGACACUGACGCUGAGGUGCGAAAGCGUGGGUAGCAAACAGGAUUAGAUACCCUGGUAGUCCACGCCGUAAACGAUGUCG
RNAcentral lists this ribosomal RNA (700 nucleotides) under Halomonas ventosae. RNAcentral describes it as "bacterial SSU rRNA". It matches the Rfam family "Bacterial small subunit ribosomal RNA", at positions 118 to 814 of the family's 1533-position model. Lineage: Bacteria; Pseudomonadati; Pseudomonadota; Gammaproteobacteria; Oceanospirillales; Halomonadaceae. The record is from RNAcentral.